UACGGGGGGAGCAAGCGUUGUUCGGAUUUACUGGGCGUAAAGGGCGCGUAGGCGGCUUUCCAAGUCACUUGUGAAAUCUCCGGGCUUAACUCGGAACGGUCAAGUGAUACUGUGAGGCUAGAAUGCGGAAGGGGCAACUGGAAUUCUCGGUGUAGCGGUGAAAUGCGUAGAUAUCGAGAGGAACACCUGCGGCGAAGGCGGGUUGCUGGGCCGACACUGACGCUGAUGCGCGAAAGCUAGGGGAGCGAACGGG
This 253-nucleotide ribosomal RNA is filed under the name uncultured bacterium. RNAcentral describes it as "partial 16S ribosomal RNA". It matches the Rfam family "Bacterial small subunit ribosomal RNA", at positions 524 to 776 of the family's 1533-position model. The record is from RNAcentral.